This 409-nucleotide ribosomal RNA is filed under the name Rhizophagus irregularis. The record is from RNAcentral. Lineage: Eukaryota; Fungi; Glomeromycota; Glomeromycetes; Glomerales; Glomeraceae.
CAGUCGUACUUACGGGUAAUCAGCCUUUUGGGUGUGAUUUUGUGGAGCGUGAGGAGUUAAACGCCUUCAUGCCUGCAUAUUCGUGCACUUUGGGUGUACUUGCCCGUGUGUAAGUUAACAUCAAUUUUGGUGGUCAUAAAAUGGCUGGAGGAAUGUAGCUUCGAUCUUGUAUUGAAGUGUUAUAGCCUCUGGUAAAUGUGGUGAACGAAACUGAGGAUUGCAACGAAUACCCUUUGGGCUAUCCGUCCGACCUCUGAAAGUUGCUUGGGUGCCGAAAGCUUGCUUACGGUUAUCAAAGUCAAUGGUCAAUAGGUUAGAAUGGGUUAAAUUCGUUAAGGAUGUUGACGUAAUGGCUUUAAACGACCGUCUUAGAAACACGGACCAAGGAGUCUAACAUAUGUGCGAGUGU